This 689-nucleotide ribosomal RNA is filed under the name Lupinus angustifolius (narrow-leaved blue lupine). RNAcentral's name for it is "rRNA SSU_rRNA_eukarya". It matches the Rfam family "Eukaryotic small subunit ribosomal RNA", at positions 1117 to 1823 of the family's 1831-position model. The record is from RNAcentral. Lineage: Eukaryota; Viridiplantae; Streptophyta; Magnoliopsida; Fabales; Fabaceae.
GGGGGAGUAUGGUCGCAAGGUUGACACUUACAGGUAUUGACUAAAGGGCACCACCAAGAAUGGAGCCUACAUCUUAAUUUGACUCAACCCGGGGAAACUUACCAGGUCCAGACAUAGUAAGGAUUGAUAGACUAAGAGCUCUUUCUUGAUUCUAUGGGUGGUGGUGCAUGGUCGUUCUUAGUUGGUGGAGCAAUUUGUCUAGUUAAUUUUUUUAAUGAAUGAGACCUCAGCCUGCUAACUAACUAUGUGGAGGUAACCUUCCACAACCAGCUUCUUAGAGGAACUAUGGACGCAUAGGCCAUAGAAGUUUGAGGCAAUAAUAGGUCUGUGAUGCCCUUAGAUGUUUUGGGUCGCACACACGCUAAACUGAUGUAUUCAACGUGUCAAUAGCCUUGGCCGACAAGCCCGAUAAAUCUUUGAAAUUUCAUUAUGAUGGGAUAGAUCAUUGCAAUUGUUGGUCUUCAACAACGAAUUCCUAGUAAGCGCGAGUCAUCAGCUCGCGUUGACUACGUCCCUUACCUUUGUACACACCGCCCGUCGCUCCUACCGAUUGAAUGGUCUGGUGAAGUGUUCGAAUUUAAGGGAUGUGGACGGUUCGCUGUUGGCGACGUUGUGAGAAGUCCUCUGAACCUUAUCAUUUAGAGGAAGGAGAAGUCGUAACAAGGUUUCUGUAGGUGAACCUGCGGAAG